AGAGUUUGAUCCUGGCUCAGAACGAACGCUGGCGGCGUGGAUAAGACAUGCAAGUCGGACGGGAUUACUUUUGGUAGCAAUACCGAAAGUGAUUCAGUGGCGAACGGGUGCGUAACACGUGGGCAAUCUACCGAGAAGUGGGGGAUAGCUCGCCGAAAGGCGAAUUAAUACCGCAUGUGAUCAGAGGCGACAUCGCUUCGAAAUCAAAGGUGGCGCAAGCUACCGCUUUUUGAGGAGCCCGCGGCCUAUCAGCUUGUUGGUGAGGUAACGGCUCACCAAGGCAUUGACGGGUAGCUGGUCUGAGAGGACGACCAGUCACACUGGGACUGAGACACGGCCCAGACACCUACGGGUGGCAGCAGUCGAGAAUUUUUCUCAAUGGGGGAAACCCUGAAGGAGCGACGCCGCGUGGAGGAUGAAGGUCUUCGGGUUGUAAACUCCUGUCAUUUGGGAACAAGGUGUGCGCGUUAACUGCGCGCGCAUUGAUAGUACCAGAAGAGGAAGAGACGGCUAACUCUGUGCCAGCAGCCGCGGUAAUACAGAGGUCUCAAGCGUUGUUCGGAUUCAUUGGGCGUAAAGGGUGCGUAGGCGGCGCGGUAAGUCGGGUGUGAAAUUUCGAGGCUUAACUUCGAAACUGCAUUCGAUACUGCCGUGCUUGAGGACUGGAGAGGAGACUGGAAUUUACGGUGUAGCGGUGAAAUGCGUAGAUAUCGUAGGAAGACCCAGUGCGAAGGCGGGUCUCUGGACAGUUCCUGACGCUGAGGCACGAAGGCCCAGGGAGCAAACGGGAUUAGAUACCCCCGUAGUCC
RNAcentral lists this ribosomal RNA (809 nucleotides) under uncultured bacterium. Its description in RNAcentral is "bacterial SSU rRNA". It matches the Rfam family "Bacterial small subunit ribosomal RNA", at positions 8 to 796 of the family's 1533-position model. The record is from RNAcentral.